RNAcentral lists this transfer RNA (88 nucleotides) under Koshicola spirodelophila. RNAcentral's name for it is "tRNA-Ser". It matches the Rfam family "tRNA". Rfam says of the family: Transfer RNA (tRNA) molecules are approximately 80 nucleotides in length. Their secondary structure includes four short double-helical elements and three loops (D, anti-codon, and T loops). Further hydrogen bonds mediate the characteristic L-shaped molecular structure. tRNAs have two regions of fundamental functional importance: the anti-codon, which is responsible for specific mRNA codon recognition, and the 3' end, to which the tRNAs corresponding amino acid is attached (by aminoacyl-tRNA synthetases). tRNAs cope with the degeneracy of the genetic code in two manners: having more than one tRNA (with a specific anti-codon) for a particular amino acid; and 'wobble' base-pairing, i.e. permitting non-standard base-pairing at the 3rd anti-codon position. Lineage: Eukaryota; Viridiplantae; Chlorophyta; Chlorophyceae; Chaetopeltidales; Chaetopeltidaceae. The record is from RNAcentral.
GGAAAGAUGGCUGAGUGGUUGUAAAGCACGGGUUUGGAGUAUCCGAGUAGGAUUUAUUUCUACCGAGGGUUCGAAUCCCUCUCUUUCC